GCCACUGCACUAUAUUAUAUGUGUACACAGACAUAUGUAUUUCAAAAUAUUCUGUCAUACAUAAAUACAUAAAAUUUUAUUUGUUAAUUUAAAAAGAAAAAAGUGAAACAAAAUUCACAGAACUAAAAGAAGAAAUAAAUGCACAAUUAUAGUUGGCUAUUUCAACAUUCUUCUCUCAACAACAGAGGACAUCUAGAAAGAAAAUCAUCAAGAAUAUAAAAUAAUUCAACAACACCAUCAAUUAACAGGAUCUAACUGACAUUUAUACAACACUCCACCCAACAACAGCAGGAUGUUCCUUCUUUGCAAGGGUCCGCAGAACAGAUCCAAAAUCUAGACCACCUCGUGGAGGUUUCAUUGCACGUGGCACACCUUGUUGAUGAGAAGAUACGGAGUUAGACGGCAUUUACACCUGAAAAGGCGCAGGACUCCUUGUAUGUUAAGCUAUUAAAGCAGAAGUAGACGAAUCUAACUAAUCUAGCCAGGAGCUGAGCCAGGUCUGAAUGUUGUUACCCUGUGGUCUAGCUUCCCCUUCUCCGGUUUGCGUUUGCCAUCAAAUCAGCUCUCCCGGUGGCUUUUUGUGGGCUGUUGUUCGCCUGUUUCGUUUGUUUCCUCUGUCCGAGCUCGCUGUGCCGUCAGGGUCCGCCUUCCUGUGCGCCCACCGACUGCCCGGAGUGCGGGCCCAGUCCUCCGGUCUCCCGCAGCCUCAUCCCAGCCGGGCCCCGGGCCGGGCCUCUCCGUGGCGGCGCAACUCUGCGUCCGUCCAGGGGACCUCAUUUCACAGAUGCCGUCCGGUGCUCAGGGGUCGGCCGUCCUGCCCGGAGUCCCCUCUCCAGGGGCGCAGGGCGACUGCGCGCUUCCUGGUCUGCAGCGUCUUCAGCCGCGCGCUCACACCCACACCGGCGGAAGGGGGAGGGUGGAGGGGCCUCGCGCGUCCCCCCAGCCGCACUGCGGGGUCUCCCUCUCCUCUGGCCCGGCAGAGCUCACAGGCCCGGACGGCGGGGGAGGAGGAGAGGCUGCCGCAGGCUGAGACUCCAGGCGCCCUGCUUCAAAGAGCCUAGCAUCCAUCCUAGGACCCAUUAGCUACAUUUUGAUCUACCCAUAGAGCUAAAGCCUCUGAGAAAGAAUGAUGCAAUUUCAAAUGAAU
Heterocephalus glaber (naked mole-rat) is the source of this 1147-nucleotide long non-coding RNA. NCBI's taxonomy places the organism in Eukaryota, Metazoa, Chordata, Mammalia, Rodentia, Bathyergidae. The record is from Ensembl.